RNAcentral lists this ribosomal RNA (783 nucleotides) under uncultured bacterium. RNAcentral describes it as "bacterial SSU rRNA". It matches the Rfam family "Bacterial small subunit ribosomal RNA", at positions 76 to 848 of the family's 1533-position model. The record is from RNAcentral.
CUCUUCGGGGAUGAUUAAACCGGCGCACGGGUGAGUAACACGUGAGUGACCUGCCUUUUAGACUGGAACAACUUACCGAAAGGUGAGCUAAUGCCGGAUGAGUUAUAUAAGUGCAUGUUUAUAUAGGAAAAGUUGGGGAGACCUGACGCUGAAAGAUGGACUCGCGUCCCAUUAGCUAGUUGGUAGGGUAAUGGCCUACCAAGGCGACGAUGGGUAGCCGGCCUGAGAGGGUGGCCGGCCACACUGGGACUGAGACACGGCCCAGACUCCUACGGGAGGCAGCAGUGGGGAAUUUUGCGCAAUGCUCGUAAGAGUGACGCAGCGACGCCGCGUGAAUGACGAAGGCCUUCGGGUCGUAAAGUUCUUUCGACAGGGAAGAAAAUGCCUAUAAGUAACUGUGUAUGUAUUGACGGUACCUGUAUAAGCAGCCCCGGCUAACUCCGUGCCAGCAGCCGCGGUAAUACGGAGGGGGCGAGCGUUGUUCGGAGUGACUGGGCGUAAAGAGCACGUAGGCGGUGUUGUAAGUCAUUAGUCAAAGACUAGAGCUCAACUUUAGUAAGGCUAGUGAUACUAUAAUACUAGAGUAUCAGAGAGGAUUGCAGAAUUCCUGGUGUAGCGGUGAAAUGCGUAGAUAUCAGGAGGAAUACCGUUAGCGAAGGCGGCAAUCUGGCUGGAAACUGACGCUGAGGUGCGAAAGCGUGGGUAGCAAACAGGAUUAGAUACCCUGGUAGUCCACGCUGUAAACGAUGGAUGCUAGGUGUUGGGCUUUUAAGUUCAGUGCCG